CUCCCAUGUUUUUAAUAUUACCAUUAAAACCUUGCACCAAAAAAUAAACGUUCAAACAUUUGAUAAAGAAAAAUAAUAACAGAUGAUAUAUAUAUAUAUGUGCAAUGGAAAGAAUAAAACAGCAUUAAGUUUACCUUGAUGAUCACAGACAGCUUGGACAUUUAUGCUGUGAAAGCCUUUCCGAUUGACAUAUGAAGCUUCAUCAUCAUGAGGUGCCUGAAUGCGGAUGUGUGUUCCAUCUAUGCAGCCAAUUACAUUCGGGAAUCCAGUUAUAAUUCAAGGAGGAAGGCCAUGAUCUCUUGGCUUAGUUCUCUAAAUGUAAAUGCCUACUAGAAUGAUACCAAGAGUUCGAUUACGCGAUAUACUGCAGACACAUAAUAAACAUGGCAUUAAAGAGCGAACAACAAGACUACUACAUCGUCGUAUUUACCACGUGCAAGGACCCAAUCAUAUUUGGCACAUAGAUACCAACCAUAAACUGAUACGACGGUAUUCUAUUAUAUCCGCCGGAGUGGAUGGAUUUAUUAGGAUGAUAAUGUUUAUGAACGCCGUAGACAACAAUAAAUCUGAUACGCUA
Molecule: long non-coding RNA, 577 nt
Organism: Dreissena polymorpha
Lineage: Eukaryota; Metazoa; Mollusca; Bivalvia; Myida; Dreissenidae
Exons: 3
Source: RefSeq, a predicted model, not a curated record